AUUCUUUUGUGCUGUAAGUUUCAGCAGUUGCUGAGACAAAACUUCAUUUUCUUUCCCCAAGAUACCAUAUCUAUGUCAUCCUGUUCUCUGCCUACUAGGAAGCAGCUUCUUAGCAUUUGACUUUAAAAAGGGAAGGCAAGCAAGAGAUGUUUCUGAGUGGUUGUGCUCUUUUGAUCGAUGAGAGAGGUGAGCCAGAGUGUGUUCCAGUGACCUCCUGCUAUAUAAAAGUUUGGCCUGCCUGACAGGACUUCUGGCUGCUGAGUAGCUGUGAGUCACGGCCUUUACUGCUUGGAUCCGAUGCGGAUUUUUACAUCAGACGCUGCGGAAACGAGGGACCAGGUGUCUCUCCCUCCAUCCCUUCCCAUGCUGCGUACAUCUGCUUCAGCCACAGAUGCUGCACUUAGGGGACACCGCCACCCCCCCGCAACCAUUUUGCUGAUGGUCUGGAGCACGAGAGCCAAGUUCAUUGCAAGGCAACUUGCCAUUUCUUCAUCAAACAUCACUGAAAAACAUCUCUAUUGGGUCACCUGUCAUGAAGCCUGCCUCAGCCUGUCAAGAAUCACAAGAAGAAAUUGGUGUCCUGCAGAAUGAACCAUCACACACAACCGAAGCCUUACCCUUCCGUGGGCAAUCUAACCAGGGGCACACGGCAGGCGGAGAGCUGGUCAAUAAGCAAACAGGGUGCCUGCCUUAUGAUGAGCAGCUCUGGAAGACAGUCAUUAAGCACUGUUAGUGCCAUCCUUUUGAGCAAAUGAGCCUCCUCCCCCUUGCUGGGCCUGGCAGGAUGGCAGCACGCAUUCAGCAGUUUCUUCUGAAGCAGCUCAUGAAAUAGGGCACCUUUCUCCUAUCAGGUGGGUAUAAUUUGGCAUGACUUCCUGUUCUGCUGGGCUUUGCAAGGGGUGAGAAGGGGUGCUGCUGCCUGCAGCAGAACUGGGCAGGGUGGUGCCCGGGGUGAAUCCAGUGUAGCUGGUGGAUCCCUGGGUGCAUGGGAAUCCAGUAUGGGGAGAGCUGACAUGCAGUAGAUCCACCCAGUCUGUGCUAUUAGACUAUUUACACUGACACACCAAUCUUUUUUUCUAGGGAUUAAUGAAGCACACUUGCUUUUUGGCUCCAUACUGUGGUAGUGCAUGCUCUCGCUCCUCAUGCCCUCGCACCUUUCAUAGGUGGCUCCCUCUGCAUUGCUUGGAAGCUGCUUGGGUUUCAAGCUGAAGUCAGGAGUGUCUGAAUCAGUAAUUUUCCCCAGAAAAUUUUUCUAUGGGACAACACGUGGGAUUUCAGGAUUCCUUGCUUUUUCCUGUCCUACUCAGUGCUGAGGAUGAGCUUCGUUGCUAACAUACACAGUAAGCAUAUGGGUUUAUACUGGUGGAUUGCCUCUCGUUCUCUGUAUUUUGCAGUGUGCACCUUGGCCGUGACAAAAACCUGUGGCUCAUCAGAGCACUUUAUCUAGAAGGUGCCUAUUGCCUUGGUUUUUCCCCUCACUGUCUCAUUACAGUUGCUGCAGGAGGCAAAACAAAAUAAUGCAGUUAUGCAGUUGUCGCAACGAGGGCAGUAAAGGCUAUGAAUCGUUCUCUGCACAAACUUGGUUUCUUGCUACCACUGAACACCCUAAGAAACACAAGAAACCAGCAAGAGCCUUUCUUUACAUUGAUCCUUCUGAUCAUACCUCAUCUGUCAUUCAUAUUCACCUCUUCACCACACCCUCUUCAUCCCAGCUCCUCAGACAUGGCCACAGCUUGGGUGCCCUUACGCAGGGUGACAAAGCAGAGUAACUCCUUGGCCCCUUGGUUUUAAGGGACCUUUGGUUUCAGAUCUGUGACCACUGAAGUCCCUCAGUGCCUCCUGGGCUCCAAGGACUUCAGAGUCACGCAGAGACAGGUGACAGGUUGUCUGCUCAUCUUUCUGAUACGCACUCCCACGUCUUUCGAGGCAGAAAAAGUCAAGUAUGUGGUGUGCUGGGACCUGAAACAUAUUGACUAUGAUUUAGUAAAAGAAUGUGGUUGGGAAAAGCUUAGGGAGGGAUGUACGCCCUGUCGUUCCUCGUCAGAUACUGGCUCUGAAAAAUCUCUCCUCUUUGUACGAUGCCUAUCUACACCCUUAACAAAGCUGUUCCUUCUAAGGCCUGUGACUCAGUGUUAAGUCUUUGUGAGAUUGGACUAUCUCUGUUUAAACAUAGCGGACACUAUUCAUUGCCCAGUGCCAUUUUUUUCCUGGCUAGAUUAACCCUCUUGUUAUAUAUGUGGUAAGAUCAAAUGUUGUGUUGGUUUAAUAUCUGAUAAAAGCUCUAUCACAGGAAUGUACCUUGUUUUUU
Phalacrocorax carbo (great cormorant) is the source of this 2308-nucleotide non-coding RNA. NCBI's taxonomy places the organism in Eukaryota, Metazoa, Chordata, Aves, Suliformes, Phalacrocoracidae. The record is from RefSeq and is a predicted model, not a curated record.